This 130-nucleotide small nuclear RNA is filed under the name Erinaceus europaeus (western European hedgehog). Its description in RNAcentral is "U4 spliceosomal RNA". It matches the Rfam family "U4 spliceosomal RNA". From Rfam's summary of the family: U4 small nuclear RNA (U4 snRNA) is a component of the major U2-dependent spliceosome. Lineage: Eukaryota; Metazoa; Chordata; Mammalia; Eulipotyphla; Erinaceidae. The record is from Rfam by way of RNAcentral.
AGCUUUGUGCUGUGGUAGUGGUCAAUAGAUUUAUCUAAGGAGUGAUUAUUGCUAAUUGAAAACUUUUCUCAAUAUCGUGUCAUGCCAGGAUACAGUUGGCACUGGCAAUUUUUGAUAACUCUGGAGAGAG